This 649-nucleotide long non-coding RNA is filed under the name Parus major (Great Tit). RNAcentral's name for it is "lncRNA (ENSPMJG00000014313.1)". Lineage: Eukaryota; Metazoa; Chordata; Aves; Passeriformes; Paridae. The record is from RNAcentral.
CCUAAUUUUAGUUGCUUAUUUUUUUCUCCUCUUUGUUCCUGUUAUUGUGUUUACAUUUAGGUCUUUCUGAUUCUGAACAAUACCUUUGCGCUGUCAGCUCCACUAGACUUGCUGAAUAUCAAAAGACACCUUGAGGACCAGUAGGACUUUGAGCAGAGCAGAUAAUUUCUCUUCCUUAGGGGCUGCUUUUCUGGGGCUCAGGACAAAAUGGUCGUGGCCCAUUUCAUCCUGACCUCCUCACUAUGCUGAUCUCAGCCGUACUGCUCCAAAUGGAAAGUGAUGUCACCACUGUCAGUGCAGGAAUUGCAGCAGGUCCUUGGUCCCACAAGUGCUGAACUGGCUGCACUUACCCUGUUCCUCAAGGCAGUCAAACUGGGCUGAAGAAGGAAAUUUUUCUCAUUACCGGCAGAAGACUAGUGCAAUGCGCUUCUUCACCACCAGUUUGUAGGUGCCUGGGCUAGUUUCAUCUGAACAAACAUAUCACAUGGCCUCAUUUCUGCUUCCAGAUCUUGAUUUUCACACCACCUGUGGCAAUCAUUCCAAAUUUCAAGUACUCUACCAAGAUCAUCUUGACCUCGCGCAUGUUUGUGGGAAGUCUGCAGCUCUAACAACCAGAUCUCUGACCCAAAAAAAUCAGGCUUCCCAUGGA